AACGAACGCUGGCGGCAUGCCUAACACAUGCAAGUCGAACGAGAUCUUCGGGUCUAGUGGCGCACGGGUGCGUAACGCGUGGGAAUCUGCCCUUUGGUUCGGAAUAACAGUUGGAAACGACUGCUAAUACCGGAUGAUGACGAAAGUCCAAAGAUUUAUCGCCAGAGGAUGAGCCCGCGUAGGAUUAGCUGGUUGGUGUGGUAAAGGCGCACCAAGGCGACGAUCCUUAGCUGGUCUGAGAGGGUGAUCAGCCACACUGGGACUGAGACACGGCCCAGACUCCUACGGGAGGCAGCAGUGGGGAAUAUUGGACAAUGGGCGAAAGCCCGAUCCAGCAAUGCCGCGUGAGUGAUGAAGGCCUUAGGGUUGUAAAGCUCUUUUACCCGGGAUGAUAAUGACAGUACCGGGAGAAUAAGCUCCGGCUAACUCCGUGCCAGCCGCCGCGGUAA
Molecule: ribosomal RNA, 449 nt
Filed under: uncultured bacterium
Lineage: Bacteria
Description: partial 16S ribosomal RNA
Rfam family: Bacterial small subunit ribosomal RNA
Source: RNAcentral